RNAcentral lists this ribosomal RNA (440 nucleotides) under uncultured bacterium. Its description in RNAcentral is "partial 16S ribosomal RNA". It matches the Rfam family "Bacterial small subunit ribosomal RNA", at positions 338 to 795 of the family's 1533-position model. The record is from RNAcentral.
CCUACGGGAGGCAGCAGUGGGGAAUAUUGCACAAUGGGGGAAACCCUGAUGCAGCGACGCCGCGUGAGUGAAGAAGUCAUUCGUUAUGUAAAGCUCUAUCAGCCGGGGAGAAAAUGACGGUACCUGAGUAAGAAUCCCCGGCUAACUACGUGCCAGCAGCCGGGGUUAUGCGUAGGGGGCAAGCGUUAUCCGGAUUUACUGGGGGUAAAGGGGGCGUAGAGGGCAGUGCAAGUCUGGAGUGAAAGGCGGGGGCUCAACCCCCGGACUGCCCUGGAAACUGUACGGCUGGAGUGCAGGAGAGGUAAGUGGAAUUCCUGGUGUAGCGGUGAAAUGCGUAGAUAUUAGGCAGAACACCAGUGGCGAAGGUGGCUUACUGGACUGUAACUGACGUUGAGGCUCGAAAGCGUGGGGAGCGAACAGGAUUAGAUACCCGAGUAGUC